RNAcentral lists this ribosomal RNA (468 nucleotides) under uncultured bacterium. RNAcentral describes it as "partial 16S ribosomal RNA". It matches the Rfam family "Bacterial small subunit ribosomal RNA", at positions 28 to 507 of the family's 1533-position model. The record is from RNAcentral.
GACGAACGCUGGCGGCGUGCUUAACACAUGCAAGUCGAACGGAAAGGCCCUGCUUUUGUGGGGUGCUCGAGUGGCGAACGGGUGAGUAACACGUGAGUAACCUGCCCUUGACUUUGGGAUAACUUCAGGAAACUGGGGCUAAUACCGGAUAGGAGCUCCUGCUGCAUGGUGGGGGUUGGAAAGUUUCGGCGGUUGGGGAUGGACUCGCGGCUUAUCAGCUUGUUGGUGGGGUAGUGGCUUACCAAGGCUUUUACGGGUAGCCGGCCUGAGAGGGUGACCGGCCAACAUGGGACUGAGAUACGGCCCAGGCUCCUACGGGAGGCAGCAGUGGGGAAUAUUGGACAAUGGGCGGAAGCCUGAUGCAGCAACGCCGCGUGCGGGAUGACGGCCUUCGGGUUGUAAACCGCUUUCGCCUGUGACGAAGCGUGAGUGACGGUAAUGGGUAAAGAAGCACCGGCUAACUACGUG